AUUGAGAUAGUUUAAAACGUUGAAAUUUGAGUUCAAAAAAGGAAACUAAUCUUUCCUCUCAAUU
This 64-nucleotide transfer RNA is filed under the name Bothriometopus macrocnemis. RNAcentral describes it as "tRNA-Gln". The record is from RNAcentral. Lineage: Eukaryota; Metazoa; Arthropoda; Insecta; Psocodea; Philopteridae.